This 247-nucleotide ribosomal RNA is filed under the name uncultured bacterium. Its description in RNAcentral is "partial 16S ribosomal RNA". It matches the Rfam family "Bacterial small subunit ribosomal RNA", at positions 15 to 263 of the family's 1533-position model. The record is from RNAcentral.
GAUCCUGGCUCAGGAUGAACGCUGGCGGCGUGCUUAACACAUGCAAGUCGAACGAUGAACCUCACUUGUGGGGGGAUUAGUGGCGAACGGGUGAGUAACACGUGAGUAACCUGCCCUUGACUCUGGGAUAAGCCUGGGAAACCGGGUCUAAUACUGGAUACGACCUUCUGGCGCAUGCCAUGUUGGUGGAAAGCUUUUGUGGUUUUGGAUGGACUCGCGGCCUAUCAGCUUGUUGGUGGGGUAAUGG